Molecule: ribosomal RNA, 341 nt
Filed under: uncultured archaeon
Lineage: Archaea
Description: partial 16S ribosomal RNA
Rfam family: Archaeal small subunit ribosomal RNA
Source: RNAcentral
CGGGAAACUGGGGAUAAUACCCGAUAGGUCUCGAUUGCUGGAAUGCAUCGAGAUUUAAAGCUCCGGCGCCUAAGGAUGGGUCUGCGGCCUAUCAGGUAGUAGUGGGUGUAGCGUACCUACUAGCCUACGACGGGUACGGGUUGUGAGAGCAAGAGCCCGGAGAUGGAUUCUGAGACACGAAUCCAGGCCCUACGGGGUGCAGCAGGCGCGAAAACUUUACAAUGCUGGCAACAGCGAUAAGGGAACCUCGAGUGCCAGGUUACAAAUCUGGCUGUCGAGAUGCCUAAAAAGCAUUUCAUAGCAAGGGCCGGGCAAGACCGGUGCCAGCCGCCGCGGUAACA